RNAcentral lists this unclassified non-coding RNA (21 nucleotides) under Chlamydomonas reinhardtii. RNAcentral's name for it is "small RNA Cre_2952". The record is from RNAcentral. Lineage: Eukaryota; Viridiplantae; Chlorophyta; Chlorophyceae; Chlamydomonadales; Chlamydomonadaceae.
UGAUACCAGCGCACGGCUUGG